AAGUCGUAACAAGGUUUCCGUAGGUGAACCUGCGGAAGGAUCAUUAACGAGUUUACAAGUCGGUCGACCGUGCUGGCGGAGACGCAUGUGCACGUCGGUCGCAAAUCUCAUCCACACACCUGUGAACGUAUGGCCUCUGGGUACUCGCUGCCUGGGGGCAAACCUUUUUCACCCACUCUGUUUGUAAAGGAAUGUCAUGUGUGCGAAAUGCGCAAAAUGAAACAACUUUCAACAACGGAUCUCUUGGCUCUC
This 252-nucleotide unclassified non-coding RNA is filed under the name fungal sp. Its description in RNAcentral is "partial internal transcribed spacer region". The stretch from base 1 to 46 matches the Rfam family "Eukaryotic small subunit ribosomal RNA", at positions 1786 to 1831 of the family's 1831-position model. Lineage: Eukaryota; Fungi. The record is from RNAcentral. RNAcentral also lists the same sequence under 1 other name.